GACGAACGCUGGCGGCGUGCCUAAUACAUGCAAGUCGAGCGAAGUUUUUCUGUUGCUUGCACCGGAAAAACUUAGCGGCGAACGGAUGAGUAAGACGUAAAGAACCUGCCGCAUAGACUGGGACCACUAUUGGAAACGAUAGCUAAUACCGGAUAGCAGCAUUAACUGCAUGGUUGAUGUUUAAAAGUUGGUUUUGCUAACACUAUGAGAUGGCUUUGCGGUGCAUUAGCUAGUUGGUGGGGUAAAGGCCUACCAAGGCGACGAUGCAUAGCCGACCUGAGAGGGUGAUCGGCCACACUGGGACUGAGACACGGCCCAGACUCCUACGGGAGGCAGCAGUAGGGAAUCUUGCGCAAUGGGCGAAAGCCUGACGGAGCAACGCCGCGUGAGUGAUGAAGGACUUCGGUUCGUAAAGCUCUGUUGGUAGGGAAGAAAGAUUGUGUAGUAACACUACACAGUAGAGACGGUACCUACAGAGAAAGCAACGGCUAACUACGUG
RNAcentral lists this ribosomal RNA (499 nucleotides) under uncultured bacterium. RNAcentral describes it as "partial 16S ribosomal RNA". It matches the Rfam family "Bacterial small subunit ribosomal RNA", at positions 28 to 507 of the family's 1533-position model. The record is from RNAcentral.